This 93-nucleotide microRNA precursor is filed under the name Bigelowiella natans CCMP2755. Its description in RNAcentral is "miRNA EPrBNAG00000013666". Lineage: Eukaryota; Cercozoa; Chlorarachniophyceae. The record is from RNAcentral.
GAUUGAGGAUGAUGAUGAUGAUGAUGAUGAUGCGUAUUAUGUGUAUGUCUAUCUUUUUCGUAAAAUGCAUCAUCAUCAUCAUUAUCAACAUCA